UACGGGGGGUGCGAGCGUUGUCCGGAAUCAUUGGGCGUAAAGAGCGUGUAGGCGGACUGGAAGGUCUGGUGUGAAAGCCCGGGGCUCAACCCCGGAGGGUCACUGGAAACCAACAGUCUUGAAUCUGGAAGAGGAGAGUGGAAUUCCUGGUGUAGCGGUGGAAUGCGCAGAUAUCAGGAGGAACACCAAUGGCGAAGGCAGCUCUCUGGUACAUGAUUGACGCUGAGACGCGAAAGCGUGGGGAGCGAACAGG
RNAcentral lists this ribosomal RNA (253 nucleotides) under uncultured bacterium. RNAcentral's name for it is "partial 16S ribosomal RNA". It matches the Rfam family "Bacterial small subunit ribosomal RNA", at positions 524 to 776 of the family's 1533-position model. The record is from RNAcentral.